UACGUAGGGUGCGAGCGUUGUCCGGAAUUACUGGGACGUAAAGCGCACGUAGGCGGCUUUGUAAGUUAGAGGUGAAAGCCCGGAGCUCAACUCCGGAAUUGCCUUUAAGACUGCAUCGCUCGAAUCCAGGAGAGGUGAGUGGAAUUCCGAGUGUAGAGGUGAAAUUCGUAGAUAUUGGGAAGAACACCGGUGGCGAAGGCGGCUCACUGGCUCGUAACUGACGCUCAUGCACGACAGCGUGGGGAUCAAACAGG
RNAcentral lists this ribosomal RNA (254 nucleotides) under uncultured bacterium. RNAcentral's name for it is "partial 16S ribosomal RNA". It matches the Rfam family "Bacterial small subunit ribosomal RNA", at positions 524 to 776 of the family's 1533-position model. The record is from RNAcentral.